GGUAAAAGGGUGUGUUGGCACGAAAAAUUUUGAAUUUUUAGGAGACUUUUUGAAGGGUUUUUUACUU
Molecule: transfer RNA, 67 nt
Filed under: Callista chinensis
Lineage: Eukaryota; Metazoa; Mollusca; Bivalvia; Venerida; Veneridae
Description: tRNA-Gln
Source: RNAcentral